UACGUAGGGUCCGAGCGUUGUCCGGAAUUAUUGGGCGUAAAGAGCUCGUAGGUGGUUUGUCGCGUUGUCCGUGAAAACUCACAGCUCAACUGUGGGCGUGCGGGCGAUACGGGCAGACUAGAGUACUGCAGGGGAGACUGGAAUUCCUGGUGUAGCGGUGGAAUGCGCAGAUAUCAGGAGGAACACCGGUGGCGAAGGCGGGUCUCUGGGCAGUAACUGACGCUGAGGAGCGAAAGCGUGGGGAGCGAACAGG
Molecule: ribosomal RNA, 253 nt
Filed under: uncultured bacterium
Lineage: Bacteria
Description: partial 16S ribosomal RNA
Rfam family: Bacterial small subunit ribosomal RNA
Source: RNAcentral